Molecule: transfer RNA, 69 nt
Filed under: Pachylemur jullyi
Lineage: Eukaryota; Metazoa; Chordata; Mammalia; Primates; Lemuridae
Description: tRNA-Val
Source: RNAcentral
CAAGGUGUAGCUUAACAUUAAAGCACCCGGCCUACGCCCGGAAGAUUUCAUGAUACAUGACCACCUCGA